This 714-nucleotide long non-coding RNA is filed under the name Lingula anatina. RNAcentral's name for it is "uncharacterized LOC106181224, transcript variant X2". Lineage: Eukaryota; Metazoa; Brachiopoda; Lingulata; Lingulida; Lingulidae. The record is from RNAcentral.
AUAAGGUGAGCACUGCGAAUCUUUAAGGCACACACUUCGUGUCCCAGUCUGCGUACGGGUGGCCAUGAAGUCCAGCGAUUAGCCACCUCUCUCAGCUGUAAUCCGGCCUGUCCACUUUGACCACCAGGUGACCAACAUGGCCCUUAAUACCGACCCGACGGGCACCUGUCAUUGGUCAGUGUGGGAAGGUCAGCGGCGGCCAUCCCCACCUGAAUAGCCAAUGGUCAGCACUCUUGUUAAGUGCGAUUAGUAAUGACUUGGGGUUGAAGUUAUUUGAGACACAGUGUAAAGGAAGACCCCAAUUAAGACUCAGCCGAGGACUGACCCAUGUCCACUGUGUCCAGUCACAAGGGUCCACUGUGAGUGUGGCCACUGUUCUGACCGUCUCCACACCUGCUCGGACGCUCAAGGAAACCGUCCAGCCUCAUUUCUCGGUAACCUCCCUUCACAUCGUAUAAGGUGGGCCUAUGAUAUCGCCGGAUUCCCUGCCUGUCACCCUGGACUGUGCUAGAUAAGAGACCAGCUGAAGAUAACUUCAUAACGAAGAGGGGAAGGGGACCUCCUUUUAAAAGUCAGUCAAGUCACAUCUAAUACACGUGUUCGUCCGAUGUCGAGGCUGGCGUGAGGAGGGCAUCCACUUGGAGAGAACCCAGAAAGCCGGAUACAAGUUGUGGCAUGUAACAAGUGGAUAAAGCGGCGUCAGCAGUUAAUAGG